RNAcentral lists this ribosomal RNA (497 nucleotides) under Ascomycota sp. CJL-2014. RNAcentral's name for it is "eukaryotic LSU rRNA". The stretch from base 147 to 300 matches the Rfam family "5.8S ribosomal RNA". Lineage: Eukaryota; Fungi; Ascomycota. The record is from RNAcentral.
GCGGUUAGGAGCUUACACCCACCCGUGUUUACAUACUAUUGUUGCUUUGGCGGGCCGUGGCCUCCACUGCGGGCUCUGCUCGUGUGUGCCCGCCAGAGAACCAAACUCUGAAUGUUAGUGAUGUCUGAGUACUAUCUAAUAGUUAAAACUUUCAACAACGGAUCUCUUGGUUCUGGCAUCGAUGAAGAACGCAGCGAAAUGCGAUAAGUAAUGUGAAUUGCAGAAUUCAGUGAAUCAUCGAAUCUUUGAACGCACAUUGCGCCCUGUGGUAUUCCGCAGGGCAUGCCUGUUCGAGCGUCAUUUAACCACUCACGCCUAGCGUGGUAUUGGGGCACGCGGUCUCCGCGGCCCUCAAAAUUAGUGGCGGCGCCGGUGGGCUCUAAGCGUAGUACAUACUCCCGCUAUAGAGUUCCCCCGGUGGCUCGCCAGAACCCCCAAUUUUUACAGGUUGACCUCGGAUCAGGUAGGGAUACCCGCUGAACUUAAGCAUAUCAAUA